GGAGGCUCUGCGGAGUGUGGAGGUUUCGAGGUUUUCUCGGCAGCCAUGGCGAAAGGCAGAGUCGUCGAGCGAUCUCAGUCCGGGAUGCUGCACUCGACCCCGGCGGGGGACGGGGCAGCGGGGACGCGUAGUUCCGCCGUGCCAAGUAGCAAAGAUCACCUGAAGG
This is a long non-coding RNA of Psammomys obesus (fat sand rat), 166 nucleotides long. RefSeq lists it as uncharacterized. The record is from RefSeq and is a predicted model, not a curated record. The transcript is spliced from 2 exons. NCBI's taxonomy places the organism in Eukaryota, Metazoa, Chordata, Mammalia, Rodentia, Muridae.